GGACAUUCUGCAACAUCGGUCAUCCUAUGAUUACCAGGGUUGAUCUGGCUGGCUAGGCAGGUGCCCCCUUCCUCUCUCCUUCCAUAUGCAUAUGCCUUCCUUAAGGGCACUGGGUGAAAGAAGAUGACCUUCCCCAAACAGAGGAGGACCAAUCUUCAGUCAAGGGUGUAUCAGCUGAGCGGCUGGCUAGAGCCCAGCCUAGAAACAAGCGCUAAGAUGCCAAACUCAUAGACAUCUGGACAUUUAGUGGUAAGCUCUUCUACUAUAGUGU
This 271-nucleotide small nuclear RNA is filed under the name Peromyscus maniculatus bairdii (prairie deer mouse). RNAcentral's name for it is "7SK RNA (ENSPEMG00000002633.2)". It matches the Rfam family "7SK RNA". Rfam says of the family: 7SK was discovered as an abundant small nuclear RNA in the mid-70s but a possible function has only recently been suggested. Two independent studies have found that 7SK RNA binds the CDK9/cyclin T complex (known as elongation factor P-TEFb). P-TEFb activates transcription by phosphorylating the C-terminal domain of RNA polymerase II. Lineage: Eukaryota; Metazoa; Chordata; Mammalia; Rodentia; Cricetidae. The record is from Rfam by way of RNAcentral.